Molecule: long non-coding RNA, 541 nt
Filed under: Ursus maritimus (polar bear)
Lineage: Eukaryota; Metazoa; Chordata; Mammalia; Carnivora; Ursidae
Description: lncRNA (ENSUMAG00000023327.1)
Source: RNAcentral
GGGGGAGGGGGACGGGGACGGGGACGGGGACGGGGGCGGGGGCGGGCCUCCGCGCUAAGGACCAGGUCUCAAAAUGGCCACACGCAUCCCCCCGUAGCGGCAAAACACUGCCCAGGACCACACCGUGGCCUAACUGCUGGUCUCUCAGCGAGAAAGGGGGGAAAGCAAAGACCCCUGUCCACAACUUGGACCUUGGCUCCCGCCCCUCUCCGGCGGAGUGGAGAUCCUAUUCAGAGGGGCCGGUUUCUCUAAAUAUGCCCCAGGAGAAAUUUUCCCUGCCGGGAAUUGGGAGCUGCUUGAGACCCUGUGCCUGCCCCGCAGGAGCUCCUGGGAUCCCUGUCUUGCUCAGACACAAACGGAAAUGUUGCGGCCAUCUGGCGACAGGAGAUGAGGAUCCGGUGUUGGGGGCUUCGAGCUGGUUCCGGGCCGCACAAAGACAGAGGAGUUAUAAUGGUCAAAUAGUCUAGUGUGAUUCUGUUCAAAAGCUUCUCCCCACUCUUUCAUCUUCCCCGAAUAAAAACAAAUGAACGAACGAUAAUCA